UCCUCUCCUAGCUCCUCCUCCUCCUUCCUCUCCUAGCUCCUCCUCCUUCCUCUCCUAGCUCCUCCUUCCUCUCCUAGCUCCUCCUCCUUCCUCUCCUAGCUCCUCCUCCUUCCUCUCCUAGCUCCUCCUUCCUCUCCUAGCUCCUCCUCCUUCCUUGGAAACCCGUGAUAUGCUUUUGCAGAGUGUUCUAGGUGCUGACAUCCAGACAUGAGACACCAGGCCCAGCUUCAAUUUUUGUACCUUAAAGCCUGUACCACCAGGCUUUAUCCUGUUUCAUCAUGAAAGUGUUCCGUCUGUCCAGCUCAAGCUGGUGCCACUGUCUUCACUGGGAAACAACAGAGAAAACCCCAAGGGCUGGCGAGAUGGCUUACGUGUUCAAGGUGCUUGCAGCCAAGCCGGACAACCUGAGUUCAAUCCCUGGAGCCAACUUAAUGGAAGGAGGGAAUCAAUUCUCAUAAGUUGUCAUGUGUGUGCUUCCACACUUGGUUUGUGCAGCGCUGAAGAUCAAGCAUGCUAGACAAGCAUUCCACCAACGGAGCCAUG
RNAcentral lists this long non-coding RNA (543 nucleotides) under Cricetulus griseus (Chinese hamster). RNAcentral describes it as "lncRNA (ENSCGRG00015043416.1)". The record is from RNAcentral. Lineage: Eukaryota; Metazoa; Chordata; Mammalia; Rodentia; Cricetidae.